Molecule: ribosomal RNA, 320 nt
Filed under: Escherichia coli
Lineage: Bacteria; Pseudomonadati; Pseudomonadota; Gammaproteobacteria; Enterobacterales; Enterobacteriaceae
Description: partial 23S ribosomal RNA
Rfam family: Bacterial large subunit ribosomal RNA
Source: RNAcentral
UAAUGGGUCAGCGACUUAUAUUCUGUAGCAAGGUUAACCGAAUAGGGGAGCCGAAGGGAAACCGAGUCUUAACUGGGCGUUAAGUUGCAGGGUAUAGACCCGAAACCCGGUGAUCUAGCCAUGGGCAGGUUGAAGGUUGGGUAACACUAACUGGAGGACCGAACCGACUAAUGUUGAAAAAUUAGCGGAUGACUUGUGGCUGGGGGUGAAAGGCCAAUCAAACCGGGAGAUAGCUGGUUCUCCCCGAAAGCUAUUUAGGUAGCGCCUCGUGAAUUCAUCUCCGGGGGUAGAGCACUGUUUCGGCAAGGGGGUCAUCCCGA